RNAcentral lists this ribosomal RNA (530 nucleotides) under uncultured archaeon. RNAcentral's name for it is "bacterial SSU rRNA". It matches the Rfam family "Archaeal small subunit ribosomal RNA", at positions 97 to 628 of the family's 1478-position model. The record is from RNAcentral.
CACGUGGAUAAUCUACCCUUAGGUCUGGAAUAACCCCGGGAAACUGGGGAUAAUACCGGAUAGAUCAUAGAUGCUGGAAUGCCCUAUGUUCUAAAGCUCCGGCGCCUAAGGAUGAGUCUGCGGUCUAUCAGGUUGUAGUGGGUGUAACGUACCUACUAGCCGACGACGGAUACGGGUUGUGAGAGCAAGAGCCCGGAGAUGGAUUCUGAGACACGAAUCCAGGCCCUACGGGGUGCAGCAGGCGCGAACACUUUACAAUGCGGGAAACCGCGAUAAGGGAACCCCGAGUGCCAGCACCAAGUGUUGGCUGUCCAGAUGAUUAAAUCUCAUUUGUUAGCAAGGGCCGGGCAAGACCGGUGCCAGCCGCCGCGGUAACACCGGCGGCCCGAGUGAUAACCGUUUUUAUUGGGUCUAAAGGGUCCGUAGCCGGUCUGAUCAGUCUUUUGGGAAAUCUGGCAGCUUAACUGUCAGGCUUCUAAGAGAUACUGUCAGGCUUGGGACCGGGAGAGGUAAGGGGUACUCCAAGGGUA